RNAcentral lists this ribosomal RNA (497 nucleotides) under uncultured bacterium. Its description in RNAcentral is "partial 16S ribosomal RNA". It matches the Rfam family "Bacterial small subunit ribosomal RNA", at positions 28 to 507 of the family's 1533-position model. The record is from RNAcentral.
GAUGAACGCUGGCGGCGUGCCUAAUACAUGCAAGUCGAGCGAACGGACGAGAAGCUUGCUUUUCUGAUGUUAGCGGCGGACGGGUGAGUAACACGUGGAUAACCUACCUAUAAGACUGGGAUAACUUCGGGAAACCGGAGCUAAUACCGGAUAAUAUUUUGAACCGCAUGGUUCAAAAGUGAAAGACGGUCUUGCUGUCACUUAUAGAUGGAUCCGCGCUGCAUUAGCUAGUUGGUAAGGUAACGGCUUACCAAGGCAACGAUGCAAAGCCGACCUGAGAGGGUGAUCGGCCACACUGGAACUGAGACACGGUCCAGACUCCUACGGGAGGCAGCAGUAGGGAAUCUUCCGCAAUGGGCGAAAGCCUGACGGAGCAACGCCGCGUGAGUGAUGAAGGUCUUCGGAUCGUAAAACUCUGUUAUUAGGGAAGAACAUAUGUGUAAGUAACUGUGCACAUCUUGACGGUACCUACUCAGAAAGCCACGGCUAACUACGUG